GGGGCUGGAGCUCAGUGGUAGAGCACUCGCCUAGCAUGUGUGAAGCAAUGGGUUUGAUCCUCAGCACCA
This is a non-coding RNA of Ictidomys tridecemlineatus (thirteen-lined ground squirrel), 69 nucleotides long. The record is from Rfam. Lineage: Eukaryota; Metazoa; Chordata; Mammalia; Rodentia; Sciuridae.